ACUCCUACGGGAGGCAGUAGUGGGGAAUUUUGGACAAUGGGCGAGAGCCUGAUCCAGCCAUGCCGCGUGCAGGAUGAAGGCCUUCGGGUUGUAAACUGCUUUUGUACGGAACGAAAAGGUUCGGCCUAAUAAGCUGAGCUCAUGACGGUACCGUAAGAAUAAGCACCGGCUAACUACGUGCCAGCAGCCGCGGUAAU
This 197-nucleotide ribosomal RNA is filed under the name uncultured bacterium. Its description in RNAcentral is "partial 16S ribosomal RNA". It matches the Rfam family "Bacterial small subunit ribosomal RNA", at positions 335 to 524 of the family's 1533-position model. The record is from RNAcentral.